GACGAACCGUGCGAACGUUAUUCGGAAUCACUGGGCUUAAAGCGCGUGUAGGCGGAAGGGCACGUCCGUUGCUGAAAUCCCCCGGCUCAACCGGGGAACGGGCGCGGAUACGACUCUUCUGGAGGGGCGUAGGGGGACCUGGAACUUCCGGUGGAGCGGUGAAAUGAGUUGAGAUCAGAAGGAACGCCCGUGGCGAAAGCGAGGUCCUGGACGCCUACUGACGCUGAGACGCGAAAGCCAGGGGAGCGAACGGG
Molecule: ribosomal RNA, 254 nt
Filed under: uncultured bacterium
Lineage: Bacteria
Description: partial 16S ribosomal RNA
Rfam family: Bacterial small subunit ribosomal RNA
Source: RNAcentral